AUGCACAUUUACUAGAGGUGAUCGUUGCAAUUAGUACGAUGGCCUUGUAUUAGUGUGCUAGAUUAAUUUGUCUGUCUUAUACAUAUUGGCGACUCAUCAUCGGUAAAAUAACCCGGGGGUUGUCAAGAAUGGACCGACACAAUG
RNAcentral lists this small nucleolar RNA (144 nucleotides) under Schizosaccharomyces cryophilus OY26. RNAcentral's name for it is "small nucleolar RNA snR93". It matches the Rfam family "small nucleolar RNA snR93". The record is from Rfam by way of RNAcentral. Lineage: Eukaryota; Fungi; Ascomycota; Schizosaccharomycetes; Schizosaccharomycetales; Schizosaccharomycetaceae.